UCUCUUUCUCCCUCUCUUCUUCUCUCUCUCUUUUCCUUCUUUUCCCCCGAGCUCUCUCUUCCUCACCAUCGGCCUCACCACCGAUCUCCCCCCUUAGGGAGACGUGGCCCACACCGCCGGUCUAGGAGGCGUCGCACCUCCCCGCACAAGCGACCCCGAGGUCGACUCCCUCUCUCUCGCCGCACACCGGAGCUCCACCAAGACGUUGACUUUUCCUCCGCCUUAUCCAAGCCAUCUCCGGUGGUUUUAAAGCACGAUUGAGGUGAUCGCUAAAUCGAGGAAAUGAAAUAUCAUCGGGAAUUGUGGAUUUACGCUCGAGUCGUUAAGGGAAUACUUCCGCAGGUGCUGAGUAGUGGUGAUUGAGUGACGACUCCGAAAACUCGAAGUCGAUCGCAUCCAGUCGUGGUGAGGUUCCAGCGUGGAUUGUGUGUGAGAUUUGGUGUGAUUUUAUUUGUGAGGUUGUUGUGAGGAUUAUACAAUUCCAUUUGUUAUAUGUUGAAUUAUCAUUUGGGUUUGUAAUAAUCGGCUUGACUGAGUUAUAUUUUAAACUCAGAUGUGAUCCGCUGCGACAUUAAAAUGAUUUCGAUUUCAUUGAGAUUAUUUUUGUGUUUAACGAUUCUAAGAUUUUGAGUUUUGAAGC
This is a long non-coding RNA of Argentina anserina (silverweed cinquefoil), 640 nucleotides long. RefSeq lists it as uncharacterized. The record is from RefSeq and is a predicted model, not a curated record. The transcript is spliced from 3 exons. NCBI's taxonomy places the organism in Eukaryota, Viridiplantae, Streptophyta, Magnoliopsida, Rosales, Rosaceae.